This 949-nucleotide non-coding RNA is filed under the name Stolephorus waitei (spotty-faced anchovy). Its description in RNAcentral is "12S ribosomal RNA". It matches the Rfam family "Bacterial small subunit ribosomal RNA". Lineage: Eukaryota; Metazoa; Chordata; Actinopteri; Clupeiformes; Engraulidae. The record is from RNAcentral.
CAAAGGUUUGGUCCUGGCCUUACUAUCAGUUUUUUCCCAAAUUACACAUGCAAGUCUCCGCAGUCCCGUGAGGAUGCCCCCAACUUCCCGCCCGGAAAUAGGGAGCAGGCAUCAGGCACAAACCCUUAGCCCAAGACGCCUUGCUCAGCCACACCCCCAAGGGAACUCAGCAGUGACAAACAUUAAGCCAUAAGUGAAAACUUGACUUAGUUAGGGAUAAAAGGGCCGGUAAAACUCGUGCCAGCCACCGCGGUUAUACGAGAGGCCCUAAUUGAUAAAUACGGCGUAAAGAGUGGUUAUGGGAACCCCACACUAAAGUCGAAACCCCCUCUAACUGUUAUACGCAUUCAGGGAUCCUAAUUUCUUUUACGAAAGUGACUUUAUCAUUAUCCACCAGAACCCACGACAGCUAGGGCACAAACUGGGAUUAGAUACCCCACUAUGCCUAGCCAUAAACUUAGAUAUCUUAAUACAACAGAUAUCCGCCAGGGAACUACAAGCAUUAGCUUAAAACCCAAAGGACUUGGCGGUGUCUCAGACCCCCCUAGAGGAGCCUGUUCUAGAACCGAUAACCCCCGUUCAACCUCACCACUCCUUGCCCUUUCCGCCUAUAUACCACCGUCGCCAGCUUACCCUGUGAAGGAAUAGUAAGCAAAAUGGAGAAACUCCAGAACGUCAGGUCGAGGUGUAGCACACGAAGUGGGAAGAAAUGGGCUACAUUGCCUGCACCAGGCUAUUCACGGAAAGUCACCUGAAACGGUUACUCGAAGGUGGAUUUAGCAGUAAGGGGAGAAUAGAGUGCUCCCUUGAAGCCGGCUCUGAGACGCGCACACACCGCCCGUCACUCUCCCCAACUACCGCAUUCUUUAGUAAAUAACACCGUACCGCAAAGUACAGGGGAGGCAAGUCGUAACAUGGUAAGUGUACCGGAAGGUGCACUUGGGAUUAC